This 105-nucleotide small nuclear RNA is filed under the name Prolemur simus (greater bamboo lemur). The record is from RNAcentral. Lineage: Eukaryota; Metazoa; Chordata; Mammalia; Primates; Lemuridae.
GCGCUCUUUUGCAGCACAAAUACUAAAAUUGGAACGACACAGAGAAGAUCAGCAUGGCCCCAGCGCAAGAAAAACAUGCAAAUUCGUGAAGCGUUCCAUUUUUUU